Molecule: ribosomal RNA, 1077 nt
Filed under: Triticum aestivum (bread wheat)
Lineage: Eukaryota; Viridiplantae; Streptophyta; Magnoliopsida; Poales; Poaceae
Description: partial small subunit ribosomal RNA
Source: RNAcentral
AUGGUAAGCCGAGGAGGAGGAGCCGUGCGGUCGUUGCUGGAUCGUCUGCGCCCGCCGCCGAGGGGGAGGAGGAGCCCCGCCAUGCCGCCGCCCGCCGCCGCCGCCGCCGCCGCUGCCAAAGGCGCCUGCUUUUGCAGCUUUAGCCACUCGGGCGCGCACGGCGAGGGGCGGAGGAAGGGCCUCCUGGAUUUGGGCGCCGGCCGGAGGUUCGCGCCGGGCAGCGCGCUGAGCCUGAAGGGAUGCCUGGACUGGCAGGAUGGCGGCAGGUUCAGGAGGGCGGAUGGUGGUGAUGGCGAUGCGGUGGAGAUCAGGGCGCGGGUCCUUGCCCCGCAGCGGCAGUUCGUCCGUGAUGCGGAAGUUCAGCUGUCGGAGGAGGUUGGCGUGAAGAGUGUGGAUGGAAAUGGCGCUUUCCGGCGGGGGAAGCGCCUCGAUUUUCCUGAGCAGCCUGUCCCGACUAAGAUGGUGGUUGCUGUUGAUGUGGAUGAAGUUCUUGGAAGCUUUCUUGCUGCUCUGAACAGAUUUAUUGCCGAGCGGUACUCUUGGAAUCACUCAGUAUCAGAAUACCAUGUCUAUGAGUUCUUUAGGAUAUGGAAUUGUUCUCGAGAAAAAGCUAAUCUUCUUGUCCAUGAGUUCUUUACAACCCAUUACUUUCAAGAUGGUGUCCAUCCUAUCCCAGGCGCCCGAGAUGCGCUCCAAAAUCUUUCUUCGUUCUGCAGCCUGUCUGUAGUAACAUCUCGCCAGGAUGUAAUAAAAAAUCACACAUUAGAGUGGAUCGAGAAGUUUUAUCCGGGCUUAUUUGAGCAGAUCCAUUUUGGGAACCAUUUUGCUUUGGAAGGCCAAUCAAGGCCAAAAUCAGAGAUUUGCAGAUCUUUUGGUGCUCAGGUUUUGAUAGAUGAUAACCCGAGAUACGCUUUAGAAUGCGCUGAGGAUGGCAUGAGGGUUCUGCUCUUUGAUUACGAUAACACGUAUCCCUGGUGCAAAACUGGUGUGGAUCAAUCACAUCCUCUGGUGACCAAGGUUCAUAACUGGCAGGAGGUUGAGCAAAAACUUCUCUCGUGGGUAGCACCUGAGAGCUGA